GCGCGCGUAGCUCAGUUGGUUUAGAGCGACCGAUUGACGUUCGGUAGGUCCCUGGUUCGAGUCCAGGCGCGCGCACCA
RNAcentral lists this transfer RNA (78 nucleotides) under Candidatus Yanofskybacteria bacterium RIFCSPHIGHO2_01_FULL_43_42. RNAcentral's name for it is "tRNA-Val". It matches the Rfam family "tRNA". From Rfam's summary of the family: Transfer RNA (tRNA) molecules are approximately 80 nucleotides in length. Their secondary structure includes four short double-helical elements and three loops (D, anti-codon, and T loops). Lineage: Bacteria; Candidatus Yanofskyibacteriota. The record is from RNAcentral. RNAcentral also lists the same sequence under 2 other names.